RNAcentral lists this long non-coding RNA (374 nucleotides) under Nicotiana benthamiana. RNAcentral's name for it is "long non-coding RNA (NBEN_LNC011251)". The record is from RNAcentral. Lineage: Eukaryota; Viridiplantae; Streptophyta; Magnoliopsida; Solanales; Solanaceae.
AAAAAAAAAAAUCUAUAGACAAUUGUCAGUUUUGAUUUAUGAAUAAUCUCCCGGUUAACUUUAUUUCCGGGAAAAAUCAGUUUCACUGUUGCAAAAUAGUCACAAAUGUCAUUUGAUCUGUUUCCUUUUAUUCUUUGUACUGGAUGGCCGGGCCUGAAUUGCGAUAACUUGGUCACAAUUUUUUUAUUGAAAAGCUCUUUGCCUUCGUACAUGUUUUUGGAUUGUAAGUUGACACCUAGGCCCUUUCACCAAGUUUCUACUUUGUGAGCUGUUCUGGUUCUGGUCUAGUGUAAGGACUUUGUGACUGUUUCUAAAUGUAAUCUGGUUCUAUUAGCCUCAAUGGGCUAUGGAACAUUUACAGCCAUACAGUUAGA